GGAGCUGAGUGGUAGGGCAUCUGCUUUGCAUGCAGAAAGUUCUGGGUUUGAUCCCCAACGGCAUCU
Molecule: non-coding RNA, 66 nt
Organism: Podarcis lilfordi (Lilford's wall lizard)
Lineage: Eukaryota; Metazoa; Chordata; Lepidosauria; Squamata; Lacertidae
Source: the annotation of a GenBank genome assembly